CACGUCGAGGGCGUGCCCCAUGCAAGGCCGCAGUCCGCAGAGGCGUCUCCGCGAAGGCGGAGGCGUCUCGGUGGUUAGAGAGUCGGGCACCGCCGAAGGCUGGCAACAGAGCACGGAAAACUGGCCGCUGUGGUACAGUGCAGGGAAAACAUGCUU
Molecule: signal recognition particle RNA, 156 nt
Filed under: Chromera velia
Lineage: Eukaryota; Chromeraceae
Description: partial Protozoan signal recognition particle RNA
Rfam family: Protozoan signal recognition particle RNA
Source: RNAcentral